GACGAACGCUGGCGGCGUGCUUAACACAUGCAAGUCGAACGGUGAAGCCCUUCGGGGUGGAUCAGUGGCGAACGGGUGAGUAUCACGUGAGCAACCUGCCCCUGGCUCUGGGACAACCACUGGAAACGGUGGCUAAUACCGGAUACGACCCGCCUCGGCAUCGAGUGUGGGUGGAAAGUUUUUCGGCUGGGGAUGGGCUCGCGGCCUAUCAGCUUGUUGGUGAGGUGAAGGCUCACCAAGGCGACGACGGGUAGCCGGCCUGAGAGGGCGACCGGCCACACUGGGACUGAGACACGGCCCAGACUCCUACGGGAGGCAGCAGUGGGGAAUAUUGCACAAUGGGCGAAAGCCUGAUGCAGCGACGCCGCGUGAGGGAUGACGGCCUUCGGGUUGUAAACCUCUUUCAGCUCCGAAGAAGCGAAAGUGACGGUAGGAGCAGAAGAAGCACCGGCUAACUACGUG
This 462-nucleotide ribosomal RNA is filed under the name uncultured bacterium. RNAcentral's name for it is "partial 16S ribosomal RNA". It matches the Rfam family "Bacterial small subunit ribosomal RNA", at positions 28 to 507 of the family's 1533-position model. The record is from RNAcentral.